This 396-nucleotide ribosomal RNA is filed under the name uncultured bacterium. RNAcentral's name for it is "bacterial SSU rRNA". It matches the Rfam family "Bacterial small subunit ribosomal RNA", at positions 28 to 412 of the family's 1533-position model. The record is from RNAcentral.
GACGAACGCUGGCGGCGUGCUUAACACAUGCAAGUCGAGGGCAUCUGGGUAGCAAUACACAGGUGACCGGCGAACGGGUGCGUAACACGUGAGCGACCUUGCCUAGUGGUGGGGGAUAGCCGGCCCAACGGCCGGGUAAUACUGCAUAAGGUGGUUUCUUCGCAUGGAGAGACUAGCAAAGCCUUGCAGCAAUGCAAUGGCGCCACAGGGGGGCUCGCGGCCUANCAGCUAGUUGGGGGGUAAUGGCCCACCAAGGCGACGACGGGUAGCUGGUCUGAGAGGAUGGCCAGCCACAUUGGGACUGAGAGACGGCCCAGACUCCUACGGGAGGCAGCAGUGGGGAAUCUUGCGCAAUGGCCGAAAGGCUGACGCAGCGACGCCGCGGUGGGGGAGGAA